UGGGGAAUAUUGGACAAUGGGCGCAAGCCUGAUCCAGCCAUGCCGCGUGAGUGACGAAGGUCUUCGGAUUGUAAAGCUCUUUUUGGCGGGGACGAUAAUGACGGUACCCGCAGAAUAAGCCCCGGCUAACUUCGUGCCAGCAGCCGCGGUAAUACGUAGGGACCAAGCGUUGUUCGGAUUUACUGGGCGUAAAGGGCGCGUAGGCGGCAUGACAAGUCACUUGUGAAAUCUCUGGGCUUAACCCAGAACGGCCAAGUGAUACUGUCGCGCUAGAGUGCAGAAGGGGCAAUCGGAAUUCUUGGUGUAGCGGUGAAAUGCGUAGAUAUCAAGAGGAACACCUGAGGUGAAGACGGGUUGCUGGGCUGACACUGACGCUGAGGUGCGAAAGCGUGGGGAGCAAACAGGAUUAGAUACCCUAGUAGUCCCUGAGCGGGCUGGCAAGGCGCAU
RNAcentral lists this ribosomal RNA (448 nucleotides) under uncultured bacterium. Its description in RNAcentral is "bacterial SSU rRNA". It matches the Rfam family "Bacterial small subunit ribosomal RNA", at positions 355 to 825 of the family's 1533-position model. The record is from RNAcentral.